UAAACUGUAGCAGAGAUGAAAGCUAGGCCGUGAUUCGGAAAAGCCGCGGGGGAGAGAGAGACAGAGACAAAAAGCUGCGGGAAGAAAGCCGCGGGGACAGAAAGACGAAAAGCUGCGGGGAAGCUGGGCCGUAGCGGAGAUGAAAGCUAAACUGUAGCAGAGACGAAAGCUAGGCCGUGAUUCGGAAAAGCCGCGGGGGGAGAGGAAAGCCGAAUAGAGAGAAAUAAAAUAGAAAGAAAUAAGAAAGCCUCCCCACAACAUGGCGAUGAGAGAACUCGGAUUCGGACUGCCUAGGGCGAUAAGCACCUGCGGGCAACUCUAGCAGAGCAGAGUAUGUGCCAUGGGGCACCGAAGACAAGCACGUAUCAACGCCACAAAGAAUAAAAAGAAGGGGGAAUCUGUGGGGAACAGGGUCCAUCUCCCGCAACAUGGCGGGGCUCCCGGGAGACAAUUAAGUACUGAGACUGUGGACUGAAACUAACUCUAUACGUCUGAUCUCCCACCAUAUGGCGCUGAGAGGGAGAAAACAAAUCUUACACAGCUGCUUCCUCAAUUAGCUGAUUCCUGAUCCAGCCUCUGAUUGGAAGAAAGCGGCAUGCUCAGCACGCCGGCAGCACAGUACGGAUUGGUGGGAGAGGACUAUAAAAGGGGGAGAGAGACAACAUGUGGGGCCACAUGUGGGGCCGCCUGAGAGAGUCGGUCGGAGAGCUCGUUGGUGCCACUCCUCUGCGGAGGUGGGGGAGCGGCAGCAAAUCUGGGAAGGACUGGGGAAAGAAAACAGCGUCCGGUGUCGUUCCUCCGCAAGUGGGGGAGCGACACAAACAUUAGAAGAGUAUUUUAAAUAUUCUAAUUCCCUUUCCUGUGGGAGUUAUAGGAAACACUUCUCAAGGUUCAAUGCCACCUCUUCUACAUAUCUUCUUUGGAUCUAGGUCAGGCUGAAGCUGGAAGCCAGGAACUUGAUCCAGGUCUCUCACAUGAAUGAAUCUUUAUGAGAUUUUAACUGCAAGCAAGCACAUAAGGUAUUCAAGCUUCUGCAACAGGAAGGACACAUACGGGGAGUAUCUCUUGAAACAUGAAAAUCAGAGGGAUUUUAAAGGAAAAAGAAACAAAAUGUUCAGAGUGCCAGGAGUGUGAUAGGUUUUUGGAGCUUUGAUAAAUUGUUACAAUCUUUCAGAAAUAAGUUAUUUUUCUUUGAGAUUUGGUUUUAUCUGUUUUGUUCUGUUCUUGGAAUUCUUGAUUCAGAUAAGGAAUUUAAAUAGAGAAUGUUAUUCUCUUUGUAACAAGGAACAAUGAGGCUAGAAGCAUUUCACAGCAGAUUUCACAGUUCUCAUUAGGAAACCAAUACCUUCUUUAUGCAAAAAAAUUCAAUGAUAAUUCAGUAAAAGUCUAGAUGGGUUCAUGCUGUUCUGGGUGACCUAAAAUGUUAAACUACUGACCUAAAACUACUUCUAUUUCAGACUAAUUGCAGAAGGAAUUUCAUUUUGGUGUACUACAGCACAAAUGAGAGCAUACACAUACACACACACAAUUUUUUUUUACAAUUUUAUUUUAAAUUUUAUUUGAAAGAUGGACAGACAUAAAGACAGACUGGGAUCUUCCAUCAGCUGGUUCAUUUCCCAAAUAUUCACCAACAGCUGAGACUGGGCCAGACUGAAGCUAGGGGCUUACAACUCAAUCUGGGUCUCCCAUAUGCCUGGCAGGAACCCAAGUACUUGGAAUCAUCACCUGCUGCCUCCUAAGGUACAGGAAGCUAGAAUCAGAAGCAGAUCCAGGAUUUGAACCCAGGAACUCCAACAUGGGAUGUAGGUGUUCAAUGUGGUGUGGGCAGCCGCAGACAGUCGCCUUUUUUGUUUAUGUUUAAACAUAUGGAUGGAGACAGCACUGCACGGACAAAAGGCUAAGGAGGUUCCAGGAAGAGGCAGGAAAAACCUUAUCCCACUGUUACACUUCUUACAAGAGACCCAUGUAGAUAAUCAAUCACGUUUGAAACUUGCAUUUAUCCCUUAGGUGUUUUAUUGUACCCUUGUAAUGAAUGAUUGAUAACAUUUUAUGAUCUGUUAAGUAGAAGAGCCUUGUUGGGAACUCUUUGUAACCCCAAACGUCUUUUAGAUAUGUAAAUCUUUUGUGUGCCUUCUUGUAUACAACUGGUCAUGUUUAAAUACUGCUGGAUUUGUUGAAUAAACAGCCUUGAUUAGGAUUUGUCUUGGCUCCA
RNAcentral lists this long non-coding RNA (2212 nucleotides) under Oryctolagus cuniculus (rabbit). RNAcentral's name for it is "lncRNA (ENSOCUG00000035788.1)". The record is from RNAcentral. Lineage: Eukaryota; Metazoa; Chordata; Mammalia; Lagomorpha; Leporidae.